This 280-nucleotide ribosomal RNA is filed under the name uncultured prokaryote. RNAcentral describes it as "partial 16S ribosomal RNA". It matches the Rfam family "Bacterial small subunit ribosomal RNA", at positions 524 to 803 of the family's 1533-position model. The record is from RNAcentral.
UACGUAGGGGCUAGCGUUAUCCGGAAUUACUGGGCGUAAAGGGUGCGUAGGUGGUUUCUUAAGUCAGAGGUGAAAGGCUACGGCUCAACCGUAGUAAGCCUUUGAAACUGGGAAACUUGAGUGCAGGAGAGGAGAGUGGAAUUCCUAGUGUAGCGGUGAAAUGCGUAGAUAUUAGGAGGAACACCAGUAGCGAAGGCGGCUCUCUGGACUGUAACUGACGCUGAGGCACGAAAGCGUGGGGAGCAAACAGGAUUAGAUACCCGCGUAGUCCCUGAGCGGG